This 556-nucleotide ribosomal RNA is filed under the name uncultured bacterium. Its description in RNAcentral is "bacterial SSU rRNA". It matches the Rfam family "Bacterial small subunit ribosomal RNA", at positions 777 to 1343 of the family's 1533-position model. The record is from RNAcentral.
AAUAGAUACCCGGUAGUCCACGCCGUAAACGAUGGAUGCUAGCUAUUGGGGGGAAUCGACCCCCUCCGAAGCGAAGCUAACGCGUUAAGCAUCCCGCCUGAGUAGUACGAGCGCAAGCUUAAAACUCAAAGGAAUUGACGGGGACCCGCACAAGCGGUGGAGCGUGUGGUUUAAUUCGAUGGUAAACGAAGAACCUUACCAAGGUUUGACAUCCCGGUAGCCGUUCUCCGAAAGGAGAAUUUCAUUUAGUUGGACCGGUGACAGGUGAUGCAUGGCCGUCGUCAGCUCGUGUCGUGAGAUGUUGGGUUAAGUCCCGCAACGAGCGCAACCCUUAUGAUUUAGUUGGAUUUUUCUAAACAGACUGCCCUGGUAACAGGGAGGAAGGAGGGGAUGAUGUCAGGUCAGUAUUUCCCUUACACCUUGGGCGACACACGCGCUACAAUGGCCGGUACAAUGGGCAGCUAAGCCGCGAGGUGGAGCAAAUCCCAUCAAAGCCGGUCCCAGUUCGGAUUGCAGGCUGAAACCCGCCUGCAUGAAGCCGGAAUCGCUAGUAACC